CACGUAGUUAGCCGGGGCUUCUUAGUCAGGUACCGUCAUUUUCUUCCCUGCUGAUAGAAGUUUACAUACCGAAAUACUUCUUCCUUCACGCGGCGUCGCUGCAUCAGGGUUUCCCCCAUUGUGCAAUAUUCCCCACUGCUGCCUCCCGUAGGAGUUUGGGCCGUGUCUCAGUCCCAAUGUGGCCGGUCACCCUCUCAGGCCGGCUACUGAUCGUCGCCUUGGUGAGCCCUUACCCCACCAACUAGCUAAUCAGACGCGGGUCCAUCUCAUACCACCGGAGUUUUUCACACUGGACCAUGCAGUCCCGUGCGCUUAUGCGGUAUUAGCAGUCAUUUCUAACUGUUAUCCCCCUGUAUGAGGCAGGUUACCCACGCGUUACUCACCCGUCCGCCACUCAGUCAAAGAUAGCUUCCUACCGAAGUAAUCUGCUUUCAGUGCUUCGUUCGACUUGCAUGUGUUAAGCACGCCGCCAGCGUUCAUCCUGAGCCAGGAUCAAACUCU
Molecule: ribosomal RNA, 501 nt
Filed under: uncultured Eubacteriales bacterium
Lineage: Bacteria; Bacillati; Bacillota; Clostridia; Eubacteriales
Description: uncultured Clostridiales bacterium partial 16S ribosomal RNA
Source: RNAcentral